Molecule: ribosomal RNA, 809 nt
Filed under: Cassava frogskin disease phytoplasma
Lineage: Bacteria; Bacillati; Mycoplasmatota; Mollicutes; Acholeplasmatales; Acholeplasmataceae
Description: bacterial SSU rRNA
Rfam family: Bacterial small subunit ribosomal RNA
Source: RNAcentral
CCUUGACGGUACUUAAUGAAUAAGCCCCGGCUAAUUAUGUGCCAGCAGCCGCGGUAAUACAUAAGGGGCGAGCGUUAUCCGGAAUUAUUGGGCGUAAAGGGUGCGUAGGCGGUUUAAUAAGUCUAUAGUUUAAUUUCAGUGCUUAACGCUGUUGUGCUAUAGAAACUGUUUUACUAGAGUGAGUUAGAGGCAAGCGGAAUUCCAUGUGUAGCGGUAAAAUGCGUAAAUAUAUGGAGGAACACCAGAGGCGUAGGCGGCUUGCUGGGACUUUACUGACGCUGAGGCACGAAAGCGUGGGGAGCAAACAGGAUUAGAUACCCUGGUAGUCCACNCCGUAAACGAUGAGUACUAAGUGUCGGGUAAAACCGGUACUGAAGUUAACACAUUAAGUACUCCGCCUGAGUAGUACGUACGCAAGUAUGAAACUUAAAGGAAUUGACGGGACUCCGCACAAGCGGUGGAUCAUGUUGUUUAAUUCGAAGAUACACGAAAAACCUUACCAGGUCUUGACAUUUUCUUGCGAAGUUAUAGAAAUAUAAUGGAGGUUAUCAGGAAAACAGGUGGUGCAUGGUUGUCGUCAGCUCGUGUCGUGAGAUGUUAGGUUAAGUCCUAAAACGAGCGCAACCCUUGUCGUUAAUUGCCAGCAUGUAAUGAUGGGGACUUUAACGAGACUGCCAAUGAAAAAUUGGAGGAAGGUGGGGAUUACGUCAAAUCAUCAUGCCCCUUAUGAUCUGGGCUACAAACGUGAUACAAUGGUUGAUACAAAGAGUAGCUGAAACGCGAGUUCUUAGCCAAUCUCACAAAAUCAU